This 21-nucleotide non-coding RNA is filed under the name Caenorhabditis elegans. Lineage: Eukaryota; Metazoa; Nematoda; Chromadorea; Rhabditida; Rhabditidae. The record is from RNAcentral.
AGAUUAUGCUAAUGUGAAAGA